RNAcentral lists this non-coding RNA (179 nucleotides) under Saccharophagus degradans. Its description in RNAcentral is "6S RNA". It matches the Rfam family "6S / SsrS RNA". From Rfam's summary of the family: E. coli 6S RNA was the first non coding RNA to be sequenced, but its function was unknown until recently. It consists of 184 nucleotides that fold into an extended hairpin structure with a large single-stranded internal bulge. The record is from RNAcentral. Lineage: Bacteria; Pseudomonadati; Pseudomonadota; Gammaproteobacteria; Cellvibrionales; Cellvibrionaceae. RNAcentral also lists the same sequence under 1 other name.
CCAAGCCUGGGAUGUUUGCUUGUUAGCGUAAUCCCUGAGCCGAUAACGUUACACCCGGAGGCGGCUCGCGUAUGUUGGUGUGCAUGUCCGCGCGACGGAAAGCCUAAUACAUAUCAGCUCCCUCCCCCUUGAACUGUCGGGUUCAAGGUAAAGUUAACGGCGGCAUUUCCGGGCACUUU